RNAcentral lists this ribosomal RNA (482 nucleotides) under uncultured bacterium. Its description in RNAcentral is "partial 16S ribosomal RNA". It matches the Rfam family "Bacterial small subunit ribosomal RNA", at positions 28 to 507 of the family's 1533-position model. The record is from RNAcentral.
GACGAACGCUGGCGGCGUGCUUAACACAUGCAAGUCGAACGCUGAAGCUCAGCUUGCUGGGUGGAUGAGUGGCGAACGGGUGAGUAACACGUGAGUAACCUGCCCUCUUCUUUGGGAUAACGCCCGGAAACGGGUGCUAAUACUGGAUAUUCACUGAUUCUCGCAUGGGGGUUGGUGGAAAGGUUUUUUCUGGUGGGGGAUGGGCUCGCGGCCUAUCAGCUUGUUGGUGGGGUGAUGGCCUACCAAGGCUUUGACGGGUAGCCGGCCUGAGAGGGUGACCGGUCACAUUGGGACUGGGAUACGGCCCAGACUCCUACGGGAGGCAGCAGUGGGGAAUAUUGCACGAUGGGCGAAAGCCUGAUGCAGCGACGCCGCGUGAGGGAUGGAGGCCUUCGGGUUGUAAACCUCUUUCGCUCAUGGUCAAGCCGCAGCUUUGGGUUGUGGUGAGGGUAGUGGGUAAAGAAGCGCCGGCUAACUACGUG